Molecule: ribosomal RNA, 1262 nt
Filed under: Bacillus velezensis
Lineage: Bacteria; Bacillati; Bacillota; Bacilli; Caryophanales; Bacillaceae
Description: bacterial SSU rRNA
Rfam family: Bacterial small subunit ribosomal RNA
Source: RNAcentral
UAACACGUGGGUAACCUGCCUGUAAGACUGGGAUAACUCCGGGAAACCGGGGCUAAUACCGGAUGGUUGUUUGAACCGCAUGGUUCAGACAUAAAAGGUGGCUUCGGCUACCACUUACAGAUGGACCCGCGGCGCAUUAGCUAGUUGGUGAGGUAACGGCUCACCAAGGAAACGAUGCGUAGCCGACCUGAGAGGGUGAUCGGCCACACUGGGACUGAGACACGGCCCAGACUCCUACGGGAGGCAGCAGUAGGGAAUCUUCCGCAAUGGACGAAAGUCUGACGGAGCAACGCCGCGUGAGUGAUGAAGGUUUUCGGAUCGUAAAGCUCUGUUGUUAGGGAAGAACAAGUGCCGUUCAAAUAGGGCGGCACCUUGACGGUACCUAACCAGAAAGCCACGGCUAACUACGUGCCAGCAGCCGCGGUAAUACGUAGGUGGCAAGCGUUGUCCGGAAUUAUUGGGCGUAAAGGGCUCGCAGGCGGUUUCUUAAGUCUGAUGUGAAAGCCCCCGGCUCAACCGGGGAGGGUCAUUGGAAACUGGGGAACUUGAGUGCAGAAGAGGAGAGUGGAAUUCCACGUGUAGCGGUGAAAUGCGUAGAGAUGUGGAGGAACACCAGUGGCGAAGGCGACUCUCUGGUCUGUAACUGACGCUGAGGAGCGAAAGCGUGGGGAGCGAACAGGAUUAGAUACCCUGGUAGUCCACGCCGUAAACGAUGAGUGCUAAGUGUUAGGGGGUUUCCGCCCCUUAGUGCUGCAGCUAACGCAUUAAGCACUCCGCCUGGGGAGUCGUCGCAAGACUGAAACUCAAAGGAAUUGACGGGGGCCCGCCACAAGCGGUGGAGCAUGUGGUUUUAAUUCGAGCACGCGAGACCUUACCAGGUCUUGACAUCCUCUGACAUCCUAGAGAUAGGACGUCCCCUUCGGGGGCAGAGUGACAGGUGGUGCAUGGUUGUCGUCAGCUCGUGUCGUGAGAUGUUGGGUUAAGUCCCGCAACGAGCGCAACCCUUGAUCUUAGUUGCCAGCAUUCAGUUGGGCACUCUAAGGUGACUGCCGGUGACAAACCGGAGGAAGGUGGGGAUGACGUCAAAUCAUCAUGCCCCUUAUGACCUGGGCUACACACGUGCUACAAUGGACAGAACAAAGGGCAGCGAAACCGCGAGGUUAAGCCAAUCCCACAAAUCUGUUCUCAGUUCGGAUCGCAGUCUGCAACUCGACUGCGUGAAGCUGGAAUCGCUAGUAAUCGCGGAUCAGCAUGCCGCGGUG